CCACCUGACAAGAGCGGCAACACCUGGUGAAUCGUCACCCCGCUACUCGAUGUCCGUAUAAGUAAACCGUCAGUACUCCCGACUUAGACACCAGCUUGUGUGAAAAUCGUAGCACAUACGGAAAUAACAACGCACUUCGAGUUUACCCAACUCGAAUGCAAAACUAGGACACAAGUCCAAACCCCGCACUCACGUGCCUAUAUACCGUAAGUCUUCUUAUGGGUCAACCUAACCAAUGGCUCAGUUUUUUUGUUAUUUUUCAAAACAACCUGUGAAUGGUGUUGUGGUUGUAACUUGGCUCUGAUACUACUUUAAUCUGUC
Molecule: long non-coding RNA, 321 nt
Filed under: Ananas comosus (pineapple)
Lineage: Eukaryota; Viridiplantae; Streptophyta; Magnoliopsida; Poales; Bromeliaceae
Description: long non-coding RNA (ACOM_LNC017937)
Source: RNAcentral